UGGGGAAUUUUGGACAAUGGGCGCAAGCCUGAUCCAGCCAUGCCGCGUGCGGGAAGAAGGCCUUCGGGUUGUAAACCGCUUUUGUCAGGGAAGAAAUCUUCUGAGUUAAUACCUCGGGAGGAUGACGGUACCUGAAGAAUAAGCACCGGCUAACUACGUGCCAGCAGCCGCGGUAAUACGUAGGGUGCAAGCGUUAAUCGGAAUUACUGGGCGUAAAGCGUGCGCAGGCGGUUUUGUAAGACAGAGGUGAAAUCCCCGGGCUCAACCUGGGAACUGCCUUUGUGACUGCAAGGCUUGAGUGCGGCAGAGGGGGAUGGAAUUCCGCGUGUAGCAGUGAAAUGCGUAGAUAUGCGGAGGAACACCGAUGGCGAAGGCAAUCCCCUGGGCCUGCACUGACGCUCAUGCACGAAAGCGUGGGGAGCAAACAGAUUAGAUACCCUGGUAGUCCACGCCCUAAACGAUGUCAACUGGUUGUUGGGAAGGUUCCUUCUCAGUAACGUAGCUAACGCGUGAAGUUGACCGCCUGGGGAGUACGGCCGCAAGGUUG
Molecule: ribosomal RNA, 547 nt
Filed under: uncultured bacterium
Lineage: Bacteria
Description: partial 16S ribosomal RNA
Rfam family: Bacterial small subunit ribosomal RNA
Source: RNAcentral